This 20-nucleotide microRNA is filed under the name Eptesicus fuscus (big brown bat). RNAcentral describes it as "efu-miR-9251". Lineage: Eukaryota; Metazoa; Chordata; Mammalia; Chiroptera; Vespertilionidae. The record is from miRBase by way of RNAcentral.
CCAGAACUCAAGUACUGAGG